AUUGAACGCUGGCGGCAGGCCUAACACAUGCAAGUCGAAUGGUAACAGGAAACAGCUUGCUGUUUCGCUGACGAGUGGCGGACGGGUGAGUAAUGUCUGGGAAACUGCCUGAUGGAGGGGGAUAACUACUGGAAACGGUAGCUAAUACCGCAUAACGUCGCAAGACCAAAGAGGGGGACCUUCGGGCCUCUUGUCAUCAGAUGUGCCCAGAUGGGAUUAGCUAGUAGGUGGGGUAACGGCUCACCUAGGCGACGAUCCCUAGCUGGUCUGAGAGGAUGACCAGCCACACUGGAACUGAGACACGGUCCAGACUCCUACGGGAGGCAGCAGUGGGGAAUAUUGCACAAUGGGCGCAAGCCUGAUGCAGCCAUGCCGCGUGUAUGAAGAAGGCCUUCGGGUUGUAAAGUACUUUCAGCGGGGAGGAAGGGAGUAAAGUUAAUACCUUUGCUCAUUGACGUUACCCGCAGAAGAAGCACCGGCUAACUCCGUG
This 490-nucleotide ribosomal RNA is filed under the name uncultured bacterium. RNAcentral describes it as "partial 16S ribosomal RNA". It matches the Rfam family "Bacterial small subunit ribosomal RNA", at positions 30 to 507 of the family's 1533-position model. The record is from RNAcentral.